This 380-nucleotide ribosomal RNA is filed under the name uncultured bacterium. RNAcentral's name for it is "partial 16S ribosomal RNA". It matches the Rfam family "Bacterial small subunit ribosomal RNA", at positions 338 to 735 of the family's 1533-position model. The record is from RNAcentral.
CCUACGGGUGGCUGCAGUGGGGAAUAUUGCACAAUGGGGUAAACCCUGAUGCAGCGACGCCGCGUGAGUGAGGACGUAUUUAGGUAUGUUAAGCUCUAUCAGCAGGGGAGAAAAUGCCGGUACCUGACUCAGAAGCCCCGGGUAACUACGUGCCAGCAGCCGCGGUAACACUUCGGGGGCAAGCGUUAUCCGGAUUUAUUGGGGGUAAAGGGGGCGUAGGUGGCUUGUAAAGUCAGAAGUGAAAGCCCAGGGCUCAACCUUGGGACUGCGUUUGAUACUGAGUGGCUAGAGUGCAGGAGCGGUAAGCGGAAUUUCUGGUGUAGCGGUGAAAUGCGUAGAUAUUAGGAGGAACACCAGUGGCGAAGGCGGCUUACUAGACU